Molecule: ribosomal RNA, 605 nt
Filed under: uncultured bacterium
Lineage: Bacteria
Description: bacterial SSU rRNA
Rfam family: Bacterial small subunit ribosomal RNA
Source: RNAcentral
GCAUCACGCCGCGUGAGUGAAGAAGGCCUUUGGGUUGUAAAGCUCUUUCGGCAGGGAAGAAGGGUGUACCGUAAACAAUUGUAGCAUUUGACUGUACCUGAAGAAGAGGCACCGGCUAACUCCGUGCCAGCAGCCGCGGUAAUACGGAGGGUGCAAGCGUUGUUCGGAAUUACUGGGCGUAAAGGACGCGUAGGCGGGCGUGAAAGUCGAUUGUGAAAGCCCCGGGCUUAACCUGGGAAUGGCAGUCGAUACUCCACGUCUUGAGUGCUUGAGAGGGUGCUGGAAUUCCUGGUGUAGAGGUGAAAUUCGUAGAUAUCAGGAGGAACACCGGAGGCGAAGGCGGGCACCUGGCGAGACACUGACGCUGAAGCGUGAAAGUGCGGGGAUCAAACAGGAUUAGAUACCCUGGUAGUCCGCACCGUAAACUAUGGACACUAGAUGUUCGGGGAGUUAACCCCCCUGAGUAUCGAAGCUAACGCAUUAAGUGUCCCGCCUGGGGAGUACGGCCGCAAGGCUAAAACUCAAAGGAAUUGACGGGGGCCCGCACAAGCGGUGGAGUAUGUGGUUCAAUUCGAAGCAACGCGAAGAAACUUACCUGGGUUUGA